RNAcentral lists this ribosomal RNA (465 nucleotides) under Vreelandella stevensii. RNAcentral describes it as "partial 16S ribosomal RNA". It matches the Rfam family "Bacterial small subunit ribosomal RNA", at positions 338 to 795 of the family's 1533-position model. Lineage: Bacteria; Pseudomonadati; Pseudomonadota; Gammaproteobacteria; Oceanospirillales; Halomonadaceae. The record is from RNAcentral.
CCUACGGGUGGCAGCAGUGGGGAAUAUUGGACAAUGGGCGAAAGCCUGAUCCAGCCAUGCCGCGUGUGUGAAGAAGGCCUUCGGGUUGUAAAGCACUUUCAGUGGGGAAGAAAGCCUUGGGGCUAAUACCCUCGAGGAAGGACAUCACCCACAGAAGAAGCACCGGCUAACUCCGUGCCAGCAGCCGCGGUAAUACGGAGGGUGCGAGCGUUAAUCGGAAUUACGGGGCGUAAAGCGCGCGUAGGCGGUCUGAUAAGCCGGUUGUGAAAGCCCCGGGCUCAACCUGGGAACGGCAUCCGGAACUGUCAGGCUAGAGUGCAGGAGAGGAAGGUAGAAGUCCCGGUGUAGCGGUGAAAUGCGUAGAGAUCGGGAGGAAUACCAGUGGCGAAGGCGGCCUUCUGGACUGACACUGACGCUGAGGUGCGAAAGCGUGGGUAGCAAACAGGAUUAGAUACCCCAGUAGUC